GGUCAGAUUGAACGCUGGCGGCAGGCCUAACACAUGCAAGUCGAGCGGAUGAGUGGAGCUUGCUCCAUGAUUCAGCGGCGGACGGGUGAGUAAUGCCUAGGAAUCUGCCCGGUAGUGGGGGAUAACGUCCGGAAACGGGCGCUAAUACCGCAUACGUCCUACGGGAGAAAGCAGGGGACCUUCGGGCCUUGCGCUAUCGGAUGAGCCUAGGUCGGAUUAGCUAGUUGGUGAGGUAAUGGCUCACCAAGGCGACGAUCCGUAACUGGUCUGAGAGGAUGAUCAGUCACACUGGAACUGAGACACGGUCCAGACUCCUACGGGAGGCAGCAGUGGGGAAUAUUGGACAAUGGGCGAAAGCCUGAUCCAGCCAUGCCGCGUGUGUGAAGAAGGUCUUCGGAUUGUAAAGCACUUUAAGUUGGGAGGAAGGGUUGUAGAUUAAUACUCUCAA
RNAcentral lists this ribosomal RNA (448 nucleotides) under Pseudomonas sp. GNE25. Its description in RNAcentral is "bacterial SSU rRNA". It matches the Rfam family "Bacterial small subunit ribosomal RNA", at positions 22 to 467 of the family's 1533-position model. Lineage: Bacteria; Pseudomonadati; Pseudomonadota; Gammaproteobacteria; Pseudomonadales; Pseudomonadaceae. The record is from RNAcentral.